Molecule: ribosomal RNA, 253 nt
Filed under: uncultured bacterium
Lineage: Bacteria
Description: partial 16S ribosomal RNA
Rfam family: Bacterial small subunit ribosomal RNA
Source: RNAcentral
UACGGAGGGGGCAAGCGUUGUUCGGAAUUAUUGGGCGUAAAGGGCGUGUAGGCGGCUUGAUAAGUCAGGCGUGAAAUCCCUCGGCUCAACUGAGGAACUGCGUUUGAAACUGUCAAGCUUGAGUGCGGGAGAGGAGAGUGGAAUUCCCAGUGUAGCGGUGAAAUGCGUAGAUAUUGGGAAGAACACCGGUGGCGAAGGCGGCUCUCUGGACCGUUACUGACGCUGAGACGCGAAAGCUAGGGGAGCGAACGGG